GGUUAAGCGACUAAGCGUACACGGUGGAUGCCCUGGCAGUCAGAGGCGAUGAAGGACGUGCUAAUCUGCGAUAAGCGUCGGUAAGGUGAUAUGAACCGUUAUAACCGGCGAUUUCCGAAUGGGGAAACCCAGUGUGAUUCGUCACACUAUCAUUAACUGAAUCCAUAGGUUAAUGAGGCGAACCGGGGGAACUGAAACAUCUAAGUACCCCGAGGAAAAGAAAUCAACCGAGAUUCCCCCAGUAGCGGCGAGCGAACGGGGAGGAGCCCAGAGCCUGAAUCAGUGUGUGUGUUAGUGGAAGCGUCUGGAAAGGCGCGCGAUACAGGGUGACAGCCCCGUACACAAAAAUGCACAUACUGUGAGCUCGAUGAGUAGGGCGGGACACGUGGUAUCCUGUCUGAAUAUGGGGGGACCAUCCUCCAAGGCUAAAUACUCCUGACUGACCGAUAGUGAACCAGUACCGUGAGGGAAAGGCGAAAAGAACCCCGGCGAGGGGAGUGAAAAAGAACCUGAAACCGUGUACGUACAAGCAGUGGGAGCACGCUUCGGCGUGUGACUGCGUACCUUUUGUAUAAUGGGUCAGCGACUUAUAUUCUGUAGCAAGGUUAACCGAAUAGGGGAGCCGAAGGGAAACCGAGUCUUAACUGGGCGUUAAGUUGCAGGGUAUAGACCCGAAACCCGGUGAUCUAGCCAUGGGCAGGUUGAAGGUUGGGUAACACUAACUGGAGGACCGAACCGACUAAUGUUGAAAAAUUAGCGGAUGACUUGUGGCUGGGGGUGAAAGGCCAAUCAAACCGGGAGAUAGCUGGUUCUCCCCGAAAGCUAUUUAGGUAGCGCCUCGUGAAUUCAUCUCCGGGGGUAGAGCACUGUUUCGGCAAGGGGGUCAUCCCGACUUACCAACCCGAUGCAAACUGCGAAUACCGGAGAAUGUUAUCACGGGAGACACACGGCGGGUGCUAACGUCCGUCGUGAAGAGGGAAACAACCCAGACCGCCAGCUAAGGUCCCAAAGUCAUGGUUAAGUGGGAAACGAUGUGGGAAGGCCCAGACAGCCAGGAUGUUGGCUUAGAAGCAGCCAUCAUUUAAAGAAAGCGUAAUAGCUCACUGGUCGAGUCGGCCUGCGCGGAAGAUGUAACGGGGCUAAACCAUGCACCGAAGCUGCGGCAGCGACACUAUGUGUUGUUGGGUAGGGGAGCGUUCUGUAAGCCUGUGAAGGUGUACUGUGAGGUAUGCUGGAGGUAUCAGAAGUGCGAAUGCUGACAUAAGUAACGAUAAAGCGGGUGAAAAGCCCGCUCGCCGGAAGACCAAGGGUUCCUGUCCAACGUUAAUCGGGGCAGGGUGAGUCGACCCCUAAGGCGAGGCCGAAAGGCGUAGUCGAUGGGAAACAGGUUAAUAUUCCUGUACUUGGUGUUACUGCGAAGGGGGGACGGAGAAGGCUAUGUUGGCCGGGCGACGGUUGUCCCGGUUUAAGCGUGUAGGCUGGUUUUCCAGGCAAAUCCGGAAAAUCAAGGCUGAGGCGUGAUGACGAGGCACUACGGUGCUGAAGCAACAAAUGCCCUGCUUCCAGGAAAAGCCUCUAAGCAUCAGGUAACAUCAAAUCGUACCCCAAACCGACACAGGUGGUCAGGUAGAGAAUACCAAGGCGCUUGAGAGAACUCGGGUGAAGGAACUAGGCAAAAUGGUGCCGUAACUUCGGGAGAAGGCACGCUGAUAUGUAGGUGAAGNNGCGAAGCUCUUGAUCGAAGCCCCGGUAAACGGCGGCCGUAACUAUAACGGUCCUAAGGUAGCGAAAUUCCUUGUCGGGUAAGUUCCGACCUGCACGAAUGGCGUAAUGAUGGCCAGGCUGUCUCCACCCGAGACUCAGUGAAAUUGAACUCGCUGUGAAGAUGCAGUGUACCCGCGGCAAGACGGAAAGACCCCGUGAACCUUUACUAUAGCUUGACACUGAACAUUGAGCCUUGAUGUGUAGGAUAGGUGGGAGGCUUUGAAGUGUGGACGCCAGUCUGCAUGGAGCCGACCUUGAAAUACCACCCUUUAAUGUUUGAUGUUCUAACGUUGGCCCGUUAUCCGGGUUGCGGACAGUGUCUGGUGGGUAGUUUGACUGGGGCGGUCUCCUCCUAAAGAGUAACGGAGGAGCACGAAGGUUGGCUAAUCCUGGUCGGACAUCAGGAGGUUAGUGCAAUGGCAUAAGCCAGCUUGACUGCGAGCGUGACGGCGCGAGCAGGUGCGAAAGCAGGUCAUAGUGAUCCGGUGGUUCUGAAUGGAAGGGCCAUCGCUCAACGGAUAAAAGGUACUCCGGGGAUAACAGGCUGAUACCGCCCAAGAGUUCAUAUCGACGGCGGUGUUUGGCACCUCGAUGUCGGCUCAUCACAUCCUGGGGCUGAAGUAGGUCCCAAGGGUAUGGCUGUUCGCCAUUUAAAGUGGUACGCGAGCUGGGUUUAGAACGUCGUGAGACAGUUCGGUCCCUAUCUGCCGUGGGCGCUGGAGAACUGAGGGGGGCUGCUCCUAGUACGAGAGGACCGGAGUGGACGCAUCACUGGUGUUCGGGUUGUCAUGCCAAUGGCACUGCCCGGUAGCUAAAUGCGGAAGAGAUAAGUGCUGAAAGCAUCUAAGCACGAAACUUGCCCCGAGAUGAGAUCUCCCUGACUCCCUGAUAGUCCUGAAGGAACGUUGAAGACGACGACGUUGAUAGGCCGG
RNAcentral lists this ribosomal RNA (2696 nucleotides) under Escherichia coli. RNAcentral describes it as "partial 23S ribosomal RNA". It matches the Rfam family "Bacterial large subunit ribosomal RNA". The record is from RNAcentral. Lineage: Bacteria; Pseudomonadati; Pseudomonadota; Gammaproteobacteria; Enterobacterales; Enterobacteriaceae.